CCUGAAACCUAGACGGAGACGUGCGAGAAACAGAUUUUGAACAUGAAAAGAGCAGCUGUGUUGGCUGAUACAGCCCUCUAUCCCCAGGCUGCCACCUCUCCCCUCUCCAACGGCCUUUACUUAACGGAACCUGGUUGCAGAGGCAGCUGGCUGAGCAUGUCUGCUCCUGCUGAAAUCUCACCACAGAUGCGGCUGCUUCAUAAUGACUAUAAUCAGAGCAAGAGCUUUUCCCAUCACCUUCAUUUCUCUCUCCUCACGUACGAGCGGCACACACAUUUUUCAAAAAGUGGCUUCUAAACACCAGAGCAACCACAGCUUAUGUCAUUGCAUGGCUAAUCUUCUGAAGUUAGACAUUGCACUAUUAGUUCCAAGUUCCUGACACAUGCACUUUUAAGGGCCCACUGUGUCAACAUGUCAAAUGGGAUGUAGCGUGCAGACGGCUGUACAUUGCAAUCUUUCUCAGUGUUGGAAGAGAAGCACAGCUAAGAUCAUCAUCACUUUCCAAAGAUAGCCAGCCAUGUGUUGAUGUCGAGGUUUGCUUUGAUGUCAUGUCAAUGCAUCAGUACAACUGGUUUACUUCUACUUACAGUGAACGCUCGCUGUGAAAUCAUUUCUGUGUGAGCUGUCCUUUGCGUGGCAUAUGCCCAUUCAGACAUGAAUGAGAAUGGCACUUUGCAAGUAAGCACUAUGAACAAAUGACAAGAUGUAUGGGUGUGACACCUUGCUGAAAUGUGAUUUCCCACUGAAGCCACCCUGAACAAACCCGUUGAUGUGGAUAAUAAACACAAAGACCUCAAAGCUGUGCUUGUUUUGUUUUAUAGAAGCACCUCAUAAUCACUUUAAAUGCUCUACGCCAUAAAUUACUACAUCGGGACAAUUUUGCUAGCAUCUCUUGCUAAUUGAUUUCCCUGUUCUUAUGUUCUCAUGGUGGGUCCCAUUUCAGAGGGAAUCAGAGGGUGUAUGAGGUGUUGAUAAACCUCUUUAAUCCCUGUCCCCUUCUCAGAUAAAUGCAGCCCUUCAUCACAUCCAUGAUUCACUGCUGAUAGUGCCAAAAUGAAUGUGUUAGUAAUAGUGUCCCUUAUUCAUUGUGGUGAUGUUGAUAUGAUCAACUAUGUUAAAUGAGGCUGUGGCUUGGUAAAAAAAAAAAAAAAAUCUGUAAGAUAUACAUAAGAAAAAUCCUGGUGAAACUUGUUGGAUGGGAUAACUCAUGUCUGCACGGAAAAUACGGUAAAGACGUGGCUAGAGCCAGCGUUCAGUUAGCUUAGCAUAGCAUUAAUACUGUCCAAAUCAUAGACUGUAUAUAAAUGGACAUAAUCACCUGAGCCUGAGAAAUGCUAAUGAGUAAGUGCCUGAAGCCUGUAUCCUCUGGAAUCACCAGAGCCAUCACACACAGCCAGGCUACCACCCUUGUGUUUUCUGUCUCUAUGUUAAGCUUAGCAAACCGAUAGAGUGGUUUCCAUCUUCUCAUCCAACUAUCUGGAAGGUGAAAUUUCCCGAAAUAGCCUAUUUCCCAAAGUGUCAAACAAUUCCUCUAACUGGCACUGGGGUUUUUUUCUCUC
This 1559-nucleotide long non-coding RNA is filed under the name Scophthalmus maximus (turbot). Its description in RNAcentral is "lncRNA (ENSSMAG00000025998.1)". Lineage: Eukaryota; Metazoa; Chordata; Actinopteri; Pleuronectiformes; Scophthalmidae. The record is from RNAcentral.